UGGGGAAUUUUGCGCAAUGGGGGAAACCCUGACGCAGCAACGCCGCGUGGAGGAUGAAGGUCUUUGGAUUGUAAACUCCUUUCGAUCGGGACGAUUAUGACGGUACCGGAAGAAGAAGCACCGGCUAACUCUGUG
RNAcentral lists this ribosomal RNA (135 nucleotides) under uncultured bacterium. RNAcentral describes it as "partial 16S rRNA". It matches the Rfam family "Bacterial small subunit ribosomal RNA", at positions 355 to 507 of the family's 1533-position model. The record is from RNAcentral.